UCUUGAGAGCGGCGUACGGGUGCGGAACACGUGUGCAACCUGCCUUUAUCUGGGGGAUAGCCUUUCCAAAGGAAGAUUAAUACCCCAUAAUAUAUUGAAUGGCAUCAUUCGAUAUUGAAAACUCCGGUGGAUAGAGAUGGGCACGCGCAAGAUUAGAUAGUUGGUGAGGUAACGGCUCACCAAGUCUACGAUCUUUAGGGGGCCUGAGAGGGUGAUCCCCCACACUGGUACUGAGACACGGACCAGACUCCUACGGGAGGCAGCAGUGAGGAAUAUUGGACAAUGGGUGAGAGCCUGAUCCAGCCAUCCCGCGUGAAGGACGACGGCCCUAUGGGUUGUAAACUUCUUUUGUAUAGGGAUAAACCUACUCUCGUGAGAGUAGCUGAAGGUACUAUACGAAUAAGCACCGGCUAACUCCGUGCCAGCAGCCGCGGUAAUACGGAGGGUGCAAGCGUUAUCCGGAUUUAUUGGGUUUAAAGGGUCCGUAGGCGGGAUCUGUAAGUCAGUGGUGAAAUCUCACAGCUUUAACUGUGAAAACUGCCAUUGAUACUGCAGGUCUUGAGUGUUGUUGAAUU
RNAcentral lists this ribosomal RNA (575 nucleotides) under Chryseobacterium sp. Its description in RNAcentral is "bacterial SSU rRNA". It matches the Rfam family "Bacterial small subunit ribosomal RNA", at positions 87 to 658 of the family's 1533-position model. The record is from RNAcentral. Lineage: Bacteria; Pseudomonadati; Bacteroidota; Flavobacteriia; Flavobacteriales; Weeksellaceae.